CAAAUUAAAAAUAAGGCCUAAUAUUGAAACACAAAAUUACAGACUACCAUACCAUAUCCAUAAAUCACUACAAAUGAUCACAAUUUUGAU
This is a long non-coding RNA of Sinocyclocheilus anshuiensis, 90 nucleotides long. RefSeq lists it as uncharacterized. The record is from RefSeq and is a predicted model, not a curated record. NCBI's taxonomy places the organism in Eukaryota, Metazoa, Chordata, Actinopteri, Cypriniformes, Cyprinidae. The transcript has 3 exons.